This 492-nucleotide ribosomal RNA is filed under the name uncultured bacterium. Its description in RNAcentral is "partial 16S ribosomal RNA". It matches the Rfam family "Bacterial small subunit ribosomal RNA", at positions 29 to 507 of the family's 1533-position model. The record is from RNAcentral.
AGUGAACGCUGGCGGUAGGCCUAACACAUGCCAGUCGAACGGCAGCACAGUAAGAGCUUGCUCUUACGGGUGGCGAGUGGCGGACGGGUGAGGAAUACAUCGGAAUCUACUUUUUCGUGGGGGAUAACGUAGGGAAACUUACGCUAAUACCGCAUACGACCUACGGGUCAAAGCAGGGGAUCUUCGGACCUUGCGCGAUUGAAUGAGCCGAUGUCGGAUUAGCUAGUUGGCGGGGUAAAGGCCCACCAAGGCGACGAUCCGUAGCUGGUCUGAGAGGAUGAUCAGCCACACUGGAACUGAGACACGGUCCAGACUCCUACGGGAGGCAGCAGUGGGGAAUAUUGGACAAUGGGCGCAAGCCUGAUCCAGCCAUACCGCGUGGGUGAAGAAGGCCUUCGGGUUGUAAAGCCCUUUUGUUGGGAAAGAAAAGCAGCAGGUUAAUACCCCGCUGUUCUGACGGUACCCAAAGAAUAAGCACCGGCUAACUUCGUG